CCUACGGGAGGCAGCAGUGAGGAAUAUUGGUCAAUGGACGGAAGUCUGAACCAGCCAUGCCGCGUGCAGGAAGACGGCUCUAUGAGUUGUAAACUGCUUUUGUACAAGGGUAAACCUGAAUACGUGUAUUCAGCUGAAAGUACUGUACGAAUAAGGAUCGGCUAACUCAGUGCCAGCAGCCGCGGUAAUACGGAGGAGCCAAGCGUUAUCCGGAUUUAUUGGGUUUAAAGGGUGCGUAGGCGGAUUGAUAAGUUAGAGGUGAAAUGUCCGAGCUUAACUCGGGAACUGCCUCUAAUACUGUUGAUCUAGAGAGUAGAUUCGGUAGGCGGAAUGUAUGGUGUAGCGGUUAAAUGCUUAGAGAUCAUACAGAACACCGAUUGCGAAGGCAGCUUACCAAUCUAUAUCUGACGUUGAGGCACGAAAGCGUGGGGAGCAAACAGGAUUAGAUACCCGGGUAGUC
This 460-nucleotide ribosomal RNA is filed under the name uncultured bacterium. RNAcentral's name for it is "partial 16S ribosomal RNA". It matches the Rfam family "Bacterial small subunit ribosomal RNA", at positions 338 to 795 of the family's 1533-position model. The record is from RNAcentral.